RNAcentral lists this ribosomal RNA (521 nucleotides) under uncultured bacterium. RNAcentral's name for it is "bacterial SSU rRNA". It matches the Rfam family "Bacterial small subunit ribosomal RNA", at positions 988 to 1509 of the family's 1533-position model. The record is from RNAcentral.
CCAGAGAACUUAGCAGAGAUGCUUUGGUGCCUUCGGGAACUCUGAGACAGGUGCUGCAUGGCUGUCGUCAGCUCGUGUUGUGAAAUGUUGGGUUAAGUCCCGCAACGAGCGCAACCCUUAUCCUUUGUUGCCAGCGGCUCGGCCGGGAACUCAAAGGAGACUGCCGGUGAUAAACCGGAGGAAGGUGGGGAUGACGUCAAGUCAUCAUGGCCCUUACGGCCAGGGCUACACACGUGCUACAAUGGCGCAUACAAAGAGAAGCGACCUCGCGAGAGCAAGCGGACCUCACAAAGUGCGUCGUAGUCCGGAUUGGAGUCUGCAACUCGACUCCAUGAAGUCGGAAUCGCCAGUAAUCGUAGAUCAGAAUGCUACGGUGAAUACGUUCCCGGGCCUUGUACACACCGCCCGUCACACCAUGGGAGUGGGUUGCAAAAGAAGUAGGUAGCUUAACCUUCGGGAGGGCGCUUACCACUUUGUGAUUCAUGACUGGGGUGAAGUCGUAACAAGGUAGGCGUAGCGAG